CUGAGAACUUGCCCCUCGGGGUAGAUCUCCCACCCUUUGUUUACCUAAUACCUUUGUUGCCUUGGCAGGCCCGUCUCACGACCACCGGCUUCAGCUGGUCAGUGCCUGCCAGAGGACUUCAAACUCUUUGUAUUUUUUUGUCCGAGUAUUAUUUAAUAGUUA
Molecule: unclassified non-coding RNA, 162 nt
Filed under: uncultured Ascomycota
Lineage: Eukaryota; Fungi; Ascomycota
Description: sequence contains ITS1
Source: RNAcentral